UGAGUCCCUCUCUUUCUCUCUUAUCUUUAGUUCGUGUUGUGGAUCCAAAUGUGAAAGGAAAAAAAAUGGAAAAAGAAGAAACAAAAUAAAGCUGCAGUAGAUAAUCACCUUUGAAAAUAUUCUUUGGUUGUUUUCUAUUGAUUUUUGUGUGUAUUUUGUAUACAAUCCGUAACCUAUUUCUCUGACAAAAAAGAACAAAACCACCCCUUUUUACCAUGAAAGAUUGAAGGCUUUAAAGCCAAAACAAUACAGUUUCUGCCUAUUUCUUUGCUCAAAUUGCAGGUACUAUAUGUCGUGGAGGAGUGCAUGAUCGUGAGGCGUAGAUGUGCGAGCUAGGGGUCGUGCGUGGGCGUGCCGACGUGCGUGGUGGAGAGGCGCAGAACGUGGGGGCUGUGGCGCAAGGAGAAAGAAGGGUUUGUUGUUUCUGAAAAAAAUUGGGACAUUGGCCUUAUGUAGUUGGGUAUUGGGCCAUUGUAAAAUUUUAGGCCUUGGAUUUAUUUUGUAUGUUUUGGGUUUUUUGGGCCCGGGUAAAAAUUAGGCCCUGCAGUUGCCCCUCUUUGCUCAUUGUCGUGUAACGAGAAUAGAGCAAAGACUUUAAAAGGGCCAAUUUUACCCAGUCUUUGCCGAGUCUUGACUUCUUGAUGCUUCCUUUCUUCAAGUAGCCUCGCUUUAACCCAUUGCAUCUCUAGGGGUAUAAGGAUUUUCGUUUUAAUUUGCUCCGCUAUUACUUAGGGAGAUAUGAUUUGUAAUCUUCAGCUUGUUACCUUACUGCUUAGGGGGUUAAAGCUUACCGUCUUCGAUCUGCUCCACUACUGCUUAGGAAGAUAAGAUCUGUAAUUUCUAGCCUAUUACCCUAUUACUUAGGGGGUUAAGGCUCACCGUCUUCGAUCUGCUCCACUACUGCUUAAGGAGAUAAGAUCUGUAAUUUCUAGCCUGUUACCCUACUGCUUAAGGGGUUAAGGCUCACUGUCUUCAAUCCGCUCCACUACUGCUUAGGGAGAUAAGAUUUGUAAUCUUUAGCCUGUUACCGUACUGCUUAAAGGGUUAAGGCUCACUGUUUUAGAUCCACUCCACUACUGUUUAGGGGAGAUCUGUAUUUUCCAGCCUGCUACCCUACUGCUUAGGGGGUUAAGGCUCGUAUCUUCAACCUGCUCUCUUGCUACCUCAGAGAGAUAAGGCCGGUGGCUAAAAUCUGCUCCAUAGCCGAUACAUGGAGAUAAGACUCGCCAUUUUUGAUCUGCUUCAUAGUCCAUACAUGGAGAUAAGACCUAUAGUUUUCAACCUGUUACCCUACUGCUUAGGGGGUUAAAGCUUGUAUCUUCAACCUGCUGUCUUGCUACCUCAGAGAGAUAAGGCCGGUAGCUAAAAUAUGCUCCAUAACCAAUACAUAGAGAUAAGACUCGCCAUUUUCGAUCUACUCUAUAGCCGAUACAUGGAGAUAAGAUUUGUAGUUUUCAGCUUGUUGCUCUACUGCUUAGGUUGGUAAAGCUUGUAUCUUCAACAUGCUCUCUUGCUACCUCAGAGAUAUAAGGCCGGUGGCUGAAAUCUGCUCCAUAGCCGAUACAUGGAGAUAAGACUCACCAUUUUUGAUCUGCUCCAUAGUCGAUACAUGGAGAUAAGAUCUGUAGUUUUCAUCCUGUUACCCUACUGCUUAGGGGGUUAAGGCUUGUGAAUUUACCGAUGCCACUGCCUCUGAGGAACAUGAUCUGUAAAAUCGAUUUCAUGUAUUUAUACUUAUGCCAAAUAAUUAAGAUGCUAUGAUUGAAAUGAAUAGAAUGCUCCUAACUAGAUGUGAUGCUUUUGUCAAAUAAUUAGGAUGAUAUGAUUGAAAUGAAUCAGAUUCCCCUAAUCAAAUACGAUAUGGAUGAUAUGAAUGUAAAAAUGUCAUGAGAAUGAUUUCUUUUUUAAAAGCUUAAAGUAUCAUCACUCGUUAUUCAUCAGAGUUUUAUCACUAUUGUAUUAUGCUGCCUACUUGCUCGGCUAGCAUUUUCCAAUAGAAAACCUAUAGAACAACCCAUUUUGCUCAGCUGGCUUGUCCCAUUGUAACCUCGGGGUCCAUUUCACUGUACUGCUAGGACCCAAGGUUUGUACCAUCUUCAAACCCUCUCCUACAACCCAAAAGUAUAGGAUCUGAAUCUUUCCAUUAAUUUGGUCUAUUACACCAUCCCCUAGGUGUCAUGAUCAAAUGUGUACACCUGAUAUUUGCAUGAAUGAGGAAUAUAACUUUUUUUCUCGAGAAUGAUCCCUUUUUAUGCUUGGGUUGAUCAUUAUUUGUCGAGGCUGUAUCACCAAUGCAAUAUCUUGUCUCUUUGUUCAACUGGUAUCUUUGAUCAAAAAAACUGAAGAGAUAGUCAUAAUUUAGACUCAUCUUUCUCAAACAUUCCCAACCUUUAGGCUUGGUAAGUUCUAAACAAUAAUCCUAUUUUAGGUUCCUGUACCAUUUAGAAACUUUCAGAGUAAUACGCAGAACCUCUUUUGUGAAGGUAUUAUUAGUCCAUUAAUCAUUAUUUCAAUGCAAAAUGCUUGAAAAAGAUCAUAACAAUGGAUAAGAGAGAAAAUAACUGGGAGCAUAGCUCAAAAGAUAGCAAACGUAAUAAGAAGGAAAUUUAUUGAAACGUAUCAAAGAUAGCAAAUUUAACAUGGACAAAAUGGAAAACUAGAUGCCCCAGAUAUCGCAGCUUGAGCUUCUUUGUACCAUUUUGAGCUCAAUUUAUGCUUAGCGAAUCCGGAGUACUUCGUCGAUGCCCCAAGACGUAGCAUACUUCUUCAUUGUUAAUUCAGACAUAGCAAGACUAUUGUAUGCCCCACUCUGAUCCAAAUUUGAGCCACCCUUUUUUAGGUUUCAACUCAAAUCCCCUUUGGUCUCAAGGCACCUUUUGCGAGUUUUCACCUUGACCUCUCUUGUUUCUUUUUCUUUUCUUUUGUAUUUUUUUUGAAACUGUUAACUGUGACUGAAAUUGAGUUCACCGAAUUGGGCAGGUCCUUGCCAUCCAUCUUGGACAAUAUCAAUGCUCCUCUAGAACAGGCCUUCUUUACUACCUAAGGUCCUUUCUAGUUUGGCAUCCACUUUCCUCUAAAGUCCUUUUGUAUAAAAAGGAUCUUUUUCAAUGCUAAGUCCCCAAUUCUCUAAAAUAAACCCCCCUUUUGUUGCAAGCCUGCAUCAUCUGACCGUGACGGAUAUCCUUCAAAUUCGACUGAUCAUAUUAGGAUUGGAUCUAUUCUAUCUCAUCCAACUUUUAGUUCUGGCAAGACUUGGGAAAAAAAUAAUGGAUAAAACGCUUCCAAACGAAUGAGAAAGGCGUUGCCCCGAUGAAGGUCUUAACCGACGGUAGAUAAGAAUAGAGGAUAAAUGGUAACUUGUUUAUGUCAAUCUUUACAAGUCUCAGUCACCUUCCACAAUCUUUUUUGUUGUUUUUGUUUUUGUUUUUUCUUUAUUUUUUGUUUCUUUCUUUUUGGCUGCCUUUGCUGCACUGUGAUAUGGGUCUGAUCUUUAAACAGACUGCAAUCUUUUGACAUUGUGCAGUUGUAUUAGACAUGAUCUUUUCUAAUAUUACCUGUCGGUGCUCCUUUUUUAUGACUAUUGACCUUGUAACAUUGGCAUAUGAAGCGAUCUUCACCCUUUUCAUGAAGACAUCGACGACUACCAAGAUGAGUCGGUGUAUAUUAGAUGAGAAUGUCUUGAUAACAUCUAUGCCCCACAUAUAGAAAAUCUGUGAAGAAAUGGAGAUGGCACAUAAGCCUUAUCUUCUUCCAUUUGGCAUUUACAGUAUAAUUGAUACAAUCCCCUUCUAUGGUGGAUCAGCAGUACCCAAACCUCAUGAUUAACCUGGCUAAUGCGAAACCCCUAGCAUGGGUCUUUCGAGCACCCUAUAGCAUUCUUACGUUUUAAUAGCCUUGGCAUAUCUUGAUGUGAUCAUGCGAAAACCUCUUUGAAUUGGGAAUAACCUAAUGAUGUCUCGCUUUGUCUUUGUGGUAAGCUAGGCUUCGACUUUCAUCUCUUUCCUAGGCUCGCAAUGUCCACUGACCCUUAGUAUAGGAUCUGUUUUUCAUCUUGUUCUACUAUUCUUAACAAAUCAGGAUAUAGGCUACAACCUCUGUCAUCUUCAAAGUCUUGAAGUCCGCUUAAACACAUAUCUCACCCCAAAAGGGAGUCAGUUACAGUAUUGCUCAUGUUAUUGAUAUCUGGGGACCUAUUGUAGGUACAAAUACAUAUUUCCAAAUAAUAAAUGAUUCUAAGGAUGAUUAUUUGUAUGGCAUGAUUAUGAAUGAAAUGAUAGAAUAAAAUAAUAUUUGCUCUGAAUGAGAUACAAAAGUGCAUUUUUUAUUGAAAAUAAAGAUGCUUGAGCAUGAGCCUAUUUCACAAAAGAUUCUUGUCGUUUCUAGGCUUAAAACAACAAGUGUGUUUUGAACAUUACUCUGUAUUAGUUCUAAAAACUACAGGAAUUACUUCCGCAAUCCAGUUGUUCAAACACUUCCAAGCUCAUAAGAGGGAAUGCCUGAUAAGUUUCCUUCCAUCACCCCCUCUUCAGAUAUGGCGUUGAUGCUUAAAUUUUCCAUCAUAUCUUCAGCUAUCGCGUUCACCCCAUUGUCAGUAUGAUUGGGUAACGGAUUUCCUACACCAGGUGCAUCAUCGCACUUCACAACGCCCAUAUUGAUAAGCCUUUCGACUAACCUUUUGAAAGAGAAAAAAUUCUCUAUCGAGUGUCCAACUGUUCCCGUAUGGUAUUCACAUUGAGUACUUACGUCGUACCAUUUGGGAUAUGGGGGCUGCAACGGUUUUAAGUAGACAGGGGCUACAACGUGUGCAUCAAAUAGACUUUUUGGAAUGAGAGUAAACCGAAGCUUCUCUAUGCUUUGUUUGGUAUUGAGCUCCUGUGUUGGCGAGGCUUGCUAACCCGUGGCUACCGUUUUUGGUUGAUUUACCGUGAUCAACUUUACAUGACCCCUGCUCAGAUUGUCGACCUUAUUUUCUCUCUUUUUUUGAGCCGACCUCCUGGUGUUUUCCCCAACUUCUAUCUUCUUACAUCUUAUCACGUUCUCUAUCAUUUCACCGGACAUCACUAUAUCCGCAAAGCUCUUAGUUGCGUUGCCUAGCAUGUGAUUAAUGAAGGGUGCUUUUAAGGUAUUAAUGAAGAACAUGGUUGUUUCUUUUUCCAGCAGUGGUGGUUAAACUUGUAUAGCAACUUCCCUCCACCUCUGGGCAUAUUGCCUGAAAUUUUCACUCGAUCUUUUCUCCAUAUUCUGUAACGUGAUCCUGUCAGAUGCUAUGUCCGUCACAUGGACAUACUGCUUCAUGAAGGCCUGUGCUAAGUCCCUCCAUGAUUUGAUUUGGGUGAGAUUCAGCUGAUUGUACCAUUUGGCCGCAGCCCCAAUCAAACCGUCCUGGAAACAGUGAACUAGUAACUGAUCAUUAUUGUCAUGACCAGUCAUCCUCCAACAAAACAUAGUGAUGUGGGCCUCAGGGCAGCUGGUUUCGUUGUAUUUCUCAAACUCCGACAUUUUGAACUUUGGAGGGAGCACUAGAUCCGGAACCAAACUUAAUUCCUUAACAUCCAUACCACACUGAUAAUCUGCGCUUCCAGCGCAUUGAACUUCUCUUCCAGCCAUUUGUAUCAGUCCUCCAGCUGCUUUGGGAGUUCUCCUUUUGCCCUUUCUACUUCGGCCAUGUUAUCCAGAUUAGGGACACCAAGAUUUGCCGGAUUGUCUCCGGUGCCUAAACCUGUCAGGAAAUACGUCAAUGCCAAAUGCCAGCUUGAUGCUGUGGACUGAUAUUGACAGACACCCUAGGUACAUAUGCGUUGGGCUACACUGUAACACCCCUAACCCGUCUCCGUCGCCGAAUCAGGGUUACGAGGCAUUACGAAACCAAGCUCACAUAAACAUAACUUUAAUAUCUAAUUCCAAAUGCAAGUCCAAUUCAUGAACAUAUAUAAUCAAAUUCAAGCAUGGAAACUAAACUCUUUUCACAUUGCUAUUUACACAAUAGGAUUCAAAACUAACCAAAACAUUAUCAAGCCUAUACAUGCCAUAAGAUCGAGUUCAAAUAUUUAACAAACUACCAAAAGAAGUUGAUAGUGUGAUGGACUGUGCUGAUGAUCCCCGAGCUCGUAACGCGUCUCCAAAUCUAUAAAAACGAAUGAACGAAAGCAAACGAAGUAAGCUUUUAUAGCUUAGUAAGUCUCCAGCAUAACUAAAUGUAUAAUUAUAAACACAUAAUUAUUAUAACCUUUUUAAUCUAUUCUACUGAAAUUUUAACUAACACAACCAACUAACAUUCAUACAUUAUUCUACUCAGACCAUUUCAUUUAUAGUCAGAUAUGUAUACCUGUCGGAUGAAUUCAGUUUAAUAUAUAUAUUAUACAAAACAACAUUACAAUUGAAUGUAUACCACCGAGCAUAUAUAUACAUAUUAUAUACAUAUCAAACCGAUUGUAUAUGUACACUCAUGGUAAGUUCUAAAUCAAUUCAAAUCUAACACAAAUAUAUAUACAUCAAUCACAUCUUAUAUUUGUUUGUAUAUAAAUAUACUCAUUAUGAAUUUAUACCUGAAUACCUAGGUAACACAUACAUUCGAAAUAUACACAUAUAUAUAUCUCAAAUGCAUACAUGAUUAAUUAUCAAACACAUAGGCUCAACAUAUAUAUGUUUAACUACCACAUAUCACCAUAUGCAUUUAUAAAUUCAGCAAUCACAUAUAUCUAAUGUACAUAUGUAUUCAUCGAUUUCAUAAAAUCACAAAUCAUAGAUAUAUCCAUUGCAUAUUCUAACACAAUUUAAACAGAUUCACCGGCAUUUUGCCUGCUAGGCUUAAAGCUUGAUUCAGUACACCGGCACUUAGCCUGCUAGACAUAUAGUCUGAAAUGUAUCACCGGCAUUAAGCCUGCUAGACAUAUAGUCUGAAAUGUAUCACCGGCAUUAAGCCUGCUAGACUUAAAGUCUGAAAUGUAUCACCGGCAUUAAGCCUGCUAGACUUAAAGUCUGAAAUGUAUCACCGGCAUUAAGCCUGCUAGACUUAAAGUCUGAAUUACUUCACCGGCAUUAAGCCUGCUAGACGUAACGUCUGUAUUACAUUCAAUCACUUUAUAAUAAUUCAAACUAACAAUUUCAUAUCUUCACUACCAUUCAAAAACUUUUACGUGAAUAUACAUACAAAAUCGAAACUUUCACAUACAUAUAUAAUUCCAUACCAAAUUUCGAUUCAAGAAUUUAUACAUGUGCAUUUAUACAUAUUCGAAUCUACCAUAUGAAUGUAUAAUUUCAUACUCAAUUUCAAAACAAAAACUUGUACAUAUAUAAAUGCACAAUCAAUCCUCGCAUACUUAUAUAAUGACAUAACUAAAUUCAAUACACAACACAUACAUGUAUACUUGCAUGCUUAUUCGACUUUAUAUAUAUAUAUACAUACUUAUAUAAUCAUUCAAACCAUAUAUAUAUAUAUAUACCUAUAUCUUAUACAUACCUUUGAUUAAUCCAAUAAUUUAUACAAGAUCAUACUUGUAUAUUCGAACAUGUUAUAUACAAUAUCUAUAGUCCAAAGUUUAUUCAACUAUUAUACUUUAAAUUAUAGCUCAAUCAUAAGAUAAAAUUAGUAUGCAUGUAUAAAUAUUAACUUAAUAACUUUUAGUUGCUAAUAGACUUACCUCGGAUAUCAGCAAACACGAUCGACUAUUCGAUUUCCUUCGACUUCCCCCGAUCCAAAUUCGUUUUCUUCGUUCCUUGAUCUAAACAUAGUCAAAUUUAACCUUUUUAUUCAUCAAAACAUUCAUUUGAGUCCAAAAAUACAUAAAUGGGAAAAUUACCAUUUUGCCCCUAACAUUUUGCACUUUUUUGCAAUUUAGUCCUUUUUGCACAAAACACAAAAUACACAAAAUUUGCCCUUAACACACAAGGGCCGAAUAUUCAUGGUUCUCAUACAAGUCCACACAUUGCAUUUAUUUCACAUUUUAGUCCCUCAAAAAUUUAUUUUCACAAUUUAGCCCUAAAUACUCAAAUUCAUCAAAAAUCCCAAGACAAAACAUGUUAAUCUAAGACAUAUCUUCCAUUAUUCAUCAUCAAACAUCACAAAACACAAAUAUUCAUCAAUGGCAUAACUCAAAAUAUUCAUUAAAAUUAGAAAUUCAAGCAUGGGUCGGGUAGUAUUCAAAGCAACGAUCUCAAAAACGUAAAAAUUAUCAAAAACCGAAACCAAAGCAUACCUUAAUUUUGCUAUGAAAGUGCCGAAACUUAAGAAACCAUGGAUGGUUUCUUCCUUUCCAAUAUUCGGCUAACAAAGAUGAACAUAUUCAUCUUUUUAUGACUUAUUUUAGUUAUAAUAUUAUAAUUUACUUAAUGACUAAAUUAACCUUAAUUAAAUAAAUUAUAAAUUACAUAACUUAAGGGCAAUGUUGGCAUAUACCACCCACUAACUAAAUCUUGGUCUAAUUACAUCUUUAGACCUCCCACUUAAAAAGACAACUACAAAUAGGUGCUUUUAAAUUUUAACCUUUAACUUUUAUUUUACGCGAUUAAACCCUUUUAUUAAAUCGGACACUUAAACGACGAAAUUAAAACACGAAAAUUUUACACAAUCAAAUGCACACGAAAUAAACACACAAAUAAUAUUAAUAAUAUUUUUCUAAUUCAGAUUUGUGGUCCCGAAACCACUAUUCUGAUUAGGGUCAAAACCGGGUUGUUACAACUCUCCCCCCUUAGGGAUUUUCGUCCCCGAAAAUCUUACCGGUGAAUAGGUUUGGAUAACGCUCCUUCAUUGUAUCCUCUGACUCCCAAGUUGCUUCUUCAACUCCGUGUUUAUGCCACAAUACUUUAACUAACGGAAUUUUCUUAUUUCGUAAUUCCUUGAUCUCACGAGCCAGAAUGCUAAUCGGUUCUUCUUCAUAUGACAUAUCAGGGUUAAUUUCAAUCUCCGUCGGACAAAUCACAUGUGAAGGAUCAGAUCGGUAUCUACGGAGCAUCGAAACAUGAAAUACAUUGUGAAUCUUUUCUAACUCAGGUGGUAACAUCAAUCUAUAAGCAACCGGUCCGACACGUUCUAUAAUCUCAUACGGUCUAAUGAAUCUUGGACUCAAUUUGCCUUUACGACCGAAUCUGAGUACUUUCUUCCACGGUGAGACUUUCAAAAACACUUUAUCGCCGAUCUGAAAUUCUAUAUCUUUUCUUCUCAAAUCCGCAUAAGAUUUCUGACGAUCUGAUGCUGAUUUCAGGCUGUCCCGAAUCACUUUCACUUUCUGUUCGGUCUCUUUAAUCAAAUCAACCCCGUGUAUCCUAUUUUCACUGAGCUCGGUCCAAUACAGUGGUGUACGACAUUUACGACCGUACAAAGCCUCAUAAGGUGCCAUUUUAAUACUAGAUUGAAAGCUGUUAUUAUAAGAAAAUUCAAUCAAAGGUAAAUAUCGUUCCCACGUACCUUCAAACUCGAGAAUGCAACAUCUCAACAUGUCCUCAAGUAUCUGUAUAAUUCGCUCCGAUUGACCAUCUGUUUGCGGAUGGAAAGCUGUGCUAAAAUGUAGUUUCGUACCUAAUGCAUCUUGUAAUUUCUUCCAAAACCGCGAUGUAAAUCUCGGGUCUCUGUCCGAAAUAAUAGAAAUAGGCACUCCGUGCAAUUUUACAAUCUGAGAAAUGUACAAUUCAGCAAGUUUAUCAAGCGAAUAAUCAAUAUGAACCGGAAUAAAGUGAGCCGAUUUUGUCAAUUUAUCAACAACAACCCAAAUUGCAUCUUUCUUGCUGGGUGUUAACGGUAAACCGGAUACAAAAUCCAUCAUAACUCUGUCCCAUUUCCAUUCAGGUAUCAUGAUCGGCUGCAGCAAUCCAGAAGGUACCUGAUGCUCGGCUUUUACUUGCUGACAUAUUAAACAUUUCGAAACAAAGUCAGAAAUGUCUCGUUUCAUUCCAUGCCACCAAUAGUGUUGUUUCAGAUCAUUAUACAUUUUCAUGCUACCCGGAUGAAUAGAAAAUCGACUAUUAUGGGCUUCAUUCAAAAUCAUCUGAAUUAACUCUGGAUUUUUCGGAACACAUAAUCGGUUUCUGAAUCUCAAACAAUCCUCAGUAUCAACUAGAAACUCUGAAUCAACAUUUAAGUCACACUGAGUUCGUUUUGCAAUUAAAUCAUCAUCGGCUUUUUGAGCUUCACAAAUCUGUUGAACAAAUAACGGUUUUGCUUUCAACUCAGCUACUAUCGCACCAUCAUCAGACAUAACCAUAUGUGCAUUCAUUGCACGCAAAGCAAACAGUGAUUUUCGACUUAGGGCAUCAGCAACAACAUUAGCCUUUCCCGGAUGAUAGUCAAUCACGAGCUCGUAAUCUUUCAACAAUUCUAACCAUCGACGCUGUCUCAAAUUCAGAUCUUUCUGAGUCAUCAAAUAUUUCAAACUUUUAUGAUCGGAAUAAACAUGACAUCUUUCGCCAAACAGAUAGUGACGCCAUAUUUUUAACGCAAAUACAAUAGCGGCCAAUUCCAGAUCAUGCGUCGGAUAGUUCUUUUCAUGCGGCUUUAACUGUCUCGAGGCAUAGGCUACAACUUUGCCUUCCUGCAUCAAUACACAGCCCAAACCAUUUAAAGAUGCAUCACUAUAGAUAACAAACUCUUUACCCGAUUCGGGUUGAACUAGGACUGGAGCUUUGGUUAAAAGAGCUUUCAACUGAUCGAAACUUUUCUGGCACUUUUCUGACCACUCAAACUUAACGUCUUUUUGUAGUAACCUUGUCAUCGGGGUCGCAAUCAUAGAGAACCCUUUCACAAAACGUCUAUAAUAGCCAGCGAGCCCCAGAAAGCUUCGAACUUCCGAAACAUUCCUCGGAGGUUUCCAAUCAAGUAUAGCUGAAAUUUUACUCGGAUCAACCCAAAUACCCGAUGCUGAUACAACAUGGCCCAGAAAACUGACUUCACGUAACCAGAACUCACAUUUACUAAACUUUGCAUACAACUGCUUAUCUCGCAAAGUUUGUAACACAAGUCUCAGAUGUUCAGCAUGCUCAUUUUCGUCUCGAGAGUAGAUCAAAAUGUCAUCAAUAAAUACUACCACAAACCGAUCCAGAUACUUCCUAAAGAUCCGAUUCAUCAAGUCCAUGAAAAUAGCAGGUGCAUUAGUAAGUCCGAAAGGCAUAACAAGAAACUCAUAAUGUCCGUACCUCGUUCGGAAAGCAGUCUUUGGCACAUCAGAGUCUUUAACUCGCAACUGAUAGUAGCCUGAUCUCAGAUCUAUCUUUGAAAACACAGUAGCCCCUUUCAACUGAUCGAACAAAUCAUCAAUCCGUGGUAACGGAUACUUAUUCUUUAUAGUCACUUUAUUGAGUUACCGGUAAUCAAUGCACAUUCUCAUCGUUCCAUCUUUCUUUCUCACAAAUAGAACUGGUGCACCCCAAGGAGAGAAACUCGGUCGUGCAAAACCUUUAUCAGUCGGCUCUUGCAACUGUACUUUCAAUUCUUUUAAUUCGGUCGGUGCCAUACGGUACGGAGCUAUCGAUAUGGGAGUCGUCCCUGGUACUAACUCAAUACCAAACUCUACCUCUCGAAUAGGUGGCAAACCCGGUAAUUCUUCGGGAAACACGUCUGAAUACUCACACACUACUGGUACAGAUUCAAUCUUCUUUUCGGUCACUUUACUAUCAAGAACAAAUGCAAGGUAAGCUUCACAACCCCUUCUCACAUACUUCUGAGCCGACAUCGAGGAUAUUAUUGCUGAUAAACCAUUCAGAUCAUUAGAUUCGAUCCGAAUAAUCUCAUCAUUCUGACACCGUAGAUCAAUAGUUUUCCGUUUGCAGUUUACAAUAGCAUCAUGCAGAGUUAACCAAUCCAUACCCAGAAUUAUAUCGAACUCGUCGAAUGGUAACAACAUCAAAUCAGCUGGAAAACAUAAAUCUCGAAUCAUCAACGGACAAUUCUUGCACACUUUGUCAACCAAAACACACCGGCCCAGGGGGUUCGAUACUUUAAUUACAAACUCAGUAGACUCAACAGGCAAAGUCUUACUGAAUACUAAAGUCUCACACACAUAAGAAUGAGUCGAACCAGGAUCAAUCAAUGCAAUAACAUUAGUAUCAUAAAGAGUGAAAGUACCAGUAAUAACAUCUGGAGAAGAAGCCUCCUCUCGAGCACGGAUGGCAUAAGCUCUGGCAGGUGCACGGGCCUCAGAUCGAAUUGCUGUAUCCCUGGUUCCUCUCUGACUACCACUUACAUUACUCAAUUGUCUCGGCGGUCUACCUCGGACUGGCACAUUACUCGGUCUGGUAUCCUGCACAGUGUUUUGCUCAGCUACCAUCGGACACUCUCGAAUGAAAUGAUCUUUUGAACCACACUUGAAGCAAGACCGAUCAUGGAAUCUGCAAUCCCCAGGAUGCCAUUUCCCACAAUGCUUGCACUCUGAUCUAUUUUGUCGAACACUACCAACGCUAGCAACUGAAGUAGCUCGUGAACUCACAGGGGGUCGAUCUCGAUCAUACUUAGGAAACCCUGCAGUAGCUUUAGAUUGGCUAUGAUCCGCUCUGAAUUUCCUUGAGGUCGACUGAAAUGAUUUACUGAAUGAUCUUUUACGAGAAUCUCGAGCUUCAUAGUCAGCUUUCCUCUUCUCUUUCCCGAGCUCCUCAGCUUUACAAGCUCGUUCCACAAGUACUACGAACUCUUUUAUCUCAAGUAUACCAACUAACAGUUUAAUAUCUUCGUUCAGCCCAUCUUCAAAUCUUCUACACAUGAUAGCUUCAGUUGAAACACACUCUCGAGCAUAUCUACUAAGUCUCACAAAUUUCCGUUCAUAUUCUGUCACUGUCAUACGACCCUGUUUCAGUUCAAGAAAUUCCUUACGUUUCUGAUCAAUAAAUCUCUGGCUGAUGUAUUUUUUACGAAACUCAGUCUGAAAGAAUUCCCAGGUCACUCGCUCUUUCGGAACCACCGAUGCUAGUGUAUUCCACCAGUGAUAUGCAGUGUCCCGUAGCAAGGAUAUGGCACAUUUCAAGCACUCAUCAGGGGUGCAAGACAACUCAUCAAACACUCGAAUAGUAUUAUCAAGCCAGAAUUCAGCUCGCUCAGCAUCAUCAUCAUCAGUAGCUCUGAACUCUUCGGCCCCGUGUUUUCGAAUUUUGUCAACCGGAGGCUUAAGUAAUCUCAUCGGAUCACUUACUUGGGGUAUAACAGGAAUCGAAGAUGGAUUAGUCGGGGGUGGAGGUUGUUGUGUAACCGGAUUAGUUCGGACAUAAUGAGUAAACCAGUCAUUCAUCAUUUGGUAGAAGGCUUGUUUAGCCUCUCCCUCCUGGUUACUCGAGGUCGGUCGAGAAUCUACCGGCUCUGUCCCUUGUGCGGGAGCAGGCGCUAUACUCUCAACAUCAUCGGCUACGGCUCGAUCGGGAUCCAUUACUAUACGAAAACACAUUUUUAGACAUCAGCAGUCAUCACACUAUCUCGAUAUAAAAAUUAUGGCAUGUAUAGCUAGACUCAUACAUGCUACGUUAGUCCAAGAAUCGACUAAACCUGGCUCUGAUACCAAUAAAAUGUAACACCCCUAACCCGUCUCCGUCGCCGAAUCAGGGUUACGAGGCAUUACGAAACCAAGCUCACAUAAACAUAACUUUAAUAUCUAAUUCCAAAUACAAGUCCAAUUCAUGAACAUAUAUAAUCAAAUUCAAGCAUGGAAACUAAACUCUUUUCACAUUGCUAUUUACACAAUAGGAUUCAAAACUAACCAAAACAUUAUCAAGCCUAUACAUGCCAUAAGAUCGAGUUCAAAUAUUUAACAAAAUACCAAAAGAAGUUGAUAGUGUGAUGGACUGUGCUGAUGAUCCCCGAGCUCGUAACGCGUCUCCAAAUCUAUAAAAACGAAUGAACGAAAGCAAACGAAGUAAGCUUUUAUAGCUUAGUAAGUCUCCAGCAUAACUAAAUGUAUAAUUAUAAACACAUAAUUAUUAUAACCUUUUUAAUCUAUUCUACUGAAAUUUUAACUAACACAACCAACUAACAUUCAUACAUUAUUCUACUCAGACCAUUUCAUUUAUAGUCAGAUAUGUAUACCUGUCGGAUGAAUUCAGUUUAAUAUAUAUAUUAUACAAAACAACAUUACAAUUGAAUGUAUACCACCGAGCAUAUAUAUACAUAUUAUAUACAUAUCAAACCGAUUGUAUAUGUACACUCAUGGUAAGUUCUAAAUCAAUUCAAAUCUAACACAAAUAUAUAUACAUCAAUCACAUCUUAUAUUUGUUUGUAUAUAAAUAUACUCAUUAUGAAUUUAUACCUGAAUACCUAGGUAACACAUACAUUCGAAAUAUACACAUAUAUAUAUCUCAAAUGCAUACAUGAUUAAUUAUCAAACACAUAGGCUCAACAUAUAUAUGUUUAACUACCACAUAUCACCAUAUGCAUUUAUAAAUUCAGCAAUCACAUAUAUCUAAUGUACAUAUGUAUUCAUCGAUUUCAUAAAAUCACAAAUCAUAGAUAUAUCCAUUGCAUAUUCUAACACAAUUUAAACAGAUUCACCGGCAUUUUGCCUGCUAGGCUUAAAGCCUGAUUCAGUACACCGGCACUUAGCCUGCUAGACAUAUAGUCUGAAAUGUAUCACCGGCAUUAAGCCUGCUAGACAUAUAGUCUGAAAUGUAUCACCGGCAUUAAGCCUGCUAGACUUAAAGUUUGAAAUGUAUCACCGGCAUUAAGCCUGCUAGACUUAAAGUCUGAAAUGUAUCACCGGCAUUAAGCCUGCUAGACUUAAAGUCUGAAUUACUUCACCGGCAUUAAGCCUGCUAGACGUAACGUCUGUAUUACAUUCAAUCACUUUAUAAUAAUUCAAACUAACAAUUUCAUAUCUUCACUACCAUUCAAAAACUUUUACGUGAAUAUACAUACAAAAUCGAAACUUUCACAUACAUAUAUAAUUCCAUACCAAAUUUCGAUUCAAGAAUUUAUACAUGUGCAUUUAUACAUAUUCGAAUCUACCAUAUGAAUGUAUAAUUUCAUACUCAAUUUCAAAACAAAAACUUGUACAUAUAUAAAUGCACAAUCAAUCCUCGCAUACUUAUAUAAUGACAUAACUAAAUUCAAUACACAACACAUACAUGUAUACUUGCAUGCUUAUUCGACUUUAUAUAUAUAUAUGCAUACUUAUAUAAUCAUUCAAACCAUAUAUAUAUAUAUAUACCUAUAUCUUAUACAUACCUUUGAUUAAUCCAAUAAUUUAUACAAGAUCAUACUUGUAUAUUCGAACAUGUUAUAUACAAUAUCUAUAGUCCAAAGUUUAUUCAACUAUUAUACUUUAAAUUAUAGCUCAAUCAUAAGAUAAAAUUAGUAUGCAUGUAUAAAUAUUAACUUAAUAACUUUUAGUUGCUAAUAGACUUACCUCGGAUAUCAGCAAACACGAUCGACUAUUCGAUUUCCUUCGACUUCCCCCGAUCCAAAUUCGUUUUCUUCGUUCCUUGAUCUAAACAUAGUCAAAUUUAACCUUUUUAUUCAUCAAAACAUUCAUUUGAGUCCAAAAAUACAUAAAUGGGAAAAUUACCAUUUUGCCCCUAACAUUUUGCACUUUUUUGCAAUUUAGUCAUUUUUGCACAAAACACAAAAUACACAAAAUUUGCCCUUAACACACAAGGGCCGAAUAUUCAUGGUUCUCAUACAAGUCCACACAUUGCAUUUAUUUCACAUUUUAGUCCCUCAAAAAUUUAUUUUCACAAUUUAGCCCUAAAUACUCAAAUUCAUCAAAAAUCCCAAGACAAAACAUGUUAAUCUAAGACAUAUCUUCCAUUAUUCAUCAUCAAACAUCACAAAACACAAAUAUUCAUCAAUGACAUAACUCAAAAUAUUCAUUAAAAUUAGAAAUUCAAGCAUGGGUCGGGUAGUAUUCAAAGCAACGAUCUCAAAAACGUAAAAAUUAUCAAAAACCGAAACCAAAGCAUACCUUAAUUUUGCUAUGAAAGUGCCGAAACUUAAGAAACCAUGGAUGGUUUCUUCCUUUCCAAUAUUCGGCUAACAAAGAUGAACAUAUUCAUCUUUUUAUGACUUAUUUUAGUUAUAAUAUUAUAAUUUACUUAAUGACUAAAUUAACCUUAAUUAAAUAAAUUAUAAAUUACAUAACUUAAGGGCAAUGUUGGCAUAUACCACCCACUAACUAAAUCUUGGUCUAAUUACAUCUUUAGACCUCCCACUUAAAAAGACAACUACAAAUAGGUGCUUUUAAAUUUUAACCUUUAACUUUUAUUUUACGCGAUUAAACCCUUUUAUUAAAUCGGACACUUAAACGACGAAAUUAAAACACGAAAAUUUUACACAAUCAAAUGCACACGAAAUAAACACACAAAAUAAUAUUAAUAAUAUUUUUCUAAUUCAGAUUUGUGGUCCCGAAACCACUAUUCUGAUUAGGGUCAAAACCGGGUUGUUACAUACACUAGGGUAUUUGCUGGGGCAAAACCCGAUGGGUAGACAGGGUCUUCACUGUCUCCCCAGAGUUGACCAUAGGGCUCUUCCCUUUUCCUGGCCCUCUGAGAAGUAACUGAGUUAGUUGAUUCAUCAUUUCUUCUGCGAUUCUAGCAUCUAAUCUUUCAUAUCCUGCUGAAUCUUGGCUAGUUGCUCCUGCAUCUGUGCUUGCAGCCGCUCCUGCAUUUCUUUCUGCAUUUGUUCCAGUUUUUCUAGCUUUUGAUCCAUAACUUUAGUGUUUCUCAGUGUGUAGUAGUGAUGUUCCAGGGUAACUAUAACACGAUUUCUAAUUAAUUAAGGUUCUUUUAUGAAGUUUAAUGCACAUGAUGCAAUGCAAUGCAAAUGCAUGGAAUGAAUGCAAAAGAAAGUAAGGCGUUGAUUCUGAAUUUAAUUCUAUUAGAAUAACUUUUCUAGAAAACAAAUUCCUUAACAUAAAAUAGAUUACAUAUGCGACUUUGCCCUCAUAAUCCAGGCGAUCCCUUUUUCUGUAAAAGUCAAACCAUGCAAACUUCCAAUAGAUGCCUCCACUAGCUCCUUUUUGCUUAAUCCAGACCGCGACUUAUUAUUCACUUAUCCUCGUAAUGCUUGUUAGCUCCUUUAGGAAAGUCGGGACGUGACGACUCUCGAAUAAUCUUUAUUGACUUGAAACCUCACGUAAAGUCUUGUUUUCCUCUACGAACUAUCAACCUUCUUCCGUUGUGUUUACUUAGACUAUAUUCAGACAACCGUAUUAUAAUCUACUUUAUCAAUAAAUUCAUUUUCUUAUGACAAACUGUUCUAUUUAGUAAUCAAAUAUGAAUCAACACCUCCUUUCUAUGAUGAUGUAAUGCAAUGCAGUCAUAAACAAAACAAAACACGUUAGCACAAGAGGAAAAAAAACAAUAUAUGACACUUACUUGGGUAACCGCUAGGGUUUGGAGAAGCUCUACCUAGGAUUGGACUCUUAAGGCUUGCUAUGUACAGUUUGGUUCUAGAGAAAGGGUACCUGAACUAGCAGAUUCCUCAAUCCUCACCCAUUAUAGGCUCAUAUGGAUCGAGUUCAGUUCAGAGGAAUACAUUUCCCUAUGGCCAUGCGAAGGUGAAAACCUCACGAAGACAUAGGUACAGAUGUAUCCCAGAAGCAGUCCACUAGCCCAUACAGAGGUAAAAACCUCACGAAUGUAUAGUUUCUCAAUCCCACUUAGAAGGUGUGACCACAACGGUCAUGCAAUAUGAUGCAAGAAUAUCCUACGUAUCUCAAAUCACAAGAAACAUAUGACAUGACACCAAAAAAUGCGACAAAAGAAGCAUGAUUUUUCAAAUCAAAUUUUUAAUUUUUUGACAAAAGGACAGAAAAUAAUCAAUUUUACGGCUUGACUCUCUUAUUGGUCCCCAGUGGAGUCGCCAAGCUGUCGAAACCAUUUUUAUUUUGAAAAACGGGGGUUGACUUUAAAACGAAAAAAAUGGAGUCGCCACUAAUCCUUUUUGUUUAGGUGUGAUCAGGUCACCCUGUGAUCGAUCAUUUUAAUAAAGCAUAUUGGUUUAUUAAAACAACGCUUUUGGUCUACGAAAAACUAGAAAACGGAUUCGGGAGUCGGUUACGCGCGAGUAAGGGUUAGCACCCUCGCAACGCCCAAAAUUGGUACCGUAUUGAUCAAUUAUCGUCCUAAUGCCAAAAAUUUGAAAAAGAUUUUAAAAUAAAAUCUUUAAAGAUGUUUGGAAAUCUUGAAUUAGAUAUUGAGAUUCUCUCGUUCAGAAGGAAUAAAAUAUCAUAUCCAGCACGAUAGGACACAACAAUUCAAACCCUCAAUACAAGAUUAUCUCAUUCUUCCCAAAACUCAUGCAUUUGAAAAAUUAGAAGGAUAUUUGGUUCUUUGGUAAAACGAUGAACCGAAACUCAGCACGAUUGGGCACGAUCUCUCGAGUUUCCAAACACAAAAUAUUUCCUCAUUUUAAUUUUAAAAAAUCAUGAAUGAAAUUUCAAAAGGAUAUUCCGCAUUUUAGUUGAACGAAAAAACUGAAACCCAGCAUGAUAGGGCACGAUCCCUCGAACUCCUAAACACAAAAUAUUUCCUUAUGUUGAGAGGGUUCAAAUUAACAAUUAUGAAAACCGAGUCAAGAUAUACUUGUUUGGUUUGUUUGGAGAUAAAAGACAAUUGAUAUUUAGAGAAUAUGGGAAUCAUAACCAUGAUGCAAUAACAAGAAAUAAACCAUCAUUACAUGCAUGAAACAAUAAUAUGCGAAUAUGAAUACCGAUAACGACACAUGAUAUGCAAGACCGUACGAAAACUAAGUAUCAAUGUGAUAUAAACAAUUUAAAGACUAUUAAAUAUGUACAGAAGGAUGACACAUGCUAGAAUUCGAAAUAACUUAUAUGCAUAUAAAAACUAACGGUAUAUGAAUGAUUAUUUAAAAUAUACAUUAUGUAAGAAGAAAUUUGAAAUAAAUAAUAUAUAACAUAACUUCAAAUAAAACAAAUUGAUUUAACAAAUGAUAUACAUAUUUAUAUGAAAAUGAAAAAAAAUAAAUGAAAAUAACGUAUAUACAAAGAUACCAAAAUAAUUAAAAUAAAUAAAAAUGCAAUUUAAAACAGGAUCCUCAAAAGAAAGCCAAAUUAUAUAUGAAUAAUUUUAAAGAAAAUAUAUAUAUAAUAAAUUUAGAAGAAAAUAUUUACAUAACAGAUUUGAAAAGAAAACAUAUAUAUUAAAUAGAUUUAAAAGAAACUAUAAAAAUAAAAUAACAUAGAAUUAACAAUGUAUAUGAAAUAAAACUAAUUUCAUCAUAAUUAUAUAUGUAUAAUAAUAAUAUAUAAAAGUAUUUUAAUUAAAUAUAACUUAAAAACUUCUAAACUACAUUAUAUAAAAGAACUUUAAUAUAAUAACUAUAUAAUAAAACAAACAAAAACAUAAAAACAGCAUGCUACGACAACGUAAAAUUAACAAACAGUUUAUGACAUAACAGGUUUAAAAACAAAAUAAAAAGAAUAAAGAACUACAAAAACUAAAAUGCUCAAUUAAGGUAAAUGCAAACUAAAGGGGUUAUUAACAAAUAAAACCAACUAUUGGGACGAAAUCAGGGACUAAAACUCAAUGUCCGUCAAUCAUGAAGGGCUAAAAAAACAAUAAACCAAAUCCCCAAAACGCAGCACUUAAGUAUGGGUUAAAUUAAAAUAACAUGAAAAUUCCAGGGAUAAAUUUAAAAAAGCCAAAGAAAACAUAAAUGGGCUCGAUUGAAUGCUGAUGCGAAGGAGGGGGACUUAUUGCGCAAAUUACCCAUCUAAAGGGAAAAUCCGCGUCGACCAAGUCAAACACGCGUACUGACUCUACCCCCCCCCCCAAUGCUGUCUUAUUUUAUUACCUAAAAUUAAAACCUGCUUUAAAAUCAUUUUUUGCUUAAAAAAAACAUUUUAACUUUGAUUUUGUUUAAAAAAAACCCUAAAGUUUUGAGAUUCCCUCACUCUCGCCUCCGCUCUUCGCCGAAAGGCCUAUGCCCAAGCCUUCAACCGCCCCAAAAGCCCUUGCGAUCAGCGAAGCAGGGUCCUCCGAUGGUGUGAGCACAAUGCGCGGUGAGUCCCUCUCUUUCUCUCCUAUCUUUAGUUCGUGUUGUGGAUCCAAAUGGGAAAGGAAAAAAAUGGAAAAAGAAGAAACAAAAUAAAGCUGCAGUAGAUAAUCACCUUUGAAAAUAUUCUUUGGUUGUUUUCUAUUGAUUUUUGUGUGUAUUUUGUAUACAAUCGGUAACCUAUUUCUCUGACAAAAAAGAAGAAAACCACCCCCCUUUUACAAUGAAAGAUUGAAGGCUUUAUAGCCAAAUACAAUACAGUUUCUACCUAUUUCUUUGCUCAAAUUGCAGGUACUGUGAUGUUGUAGAGGAGUGCAUGAUCGUGGGGCGUGGACGUGCGAGCUAGGGGUCGUGCGUGGGCGUGUCGAUGUGCGUGGUGGAGAGGCGUAGAACGUGGGGGCUACAGCGCAAGGAGAAAGAAGGGUUUGUUGUUUCUGAAAAAAAAAAUUUGGGUCAUUGGGCUUGUGUAGUUGGGUAUUAGGCCAUUGUAAAAUUUUGGGCCUUGGAUUUAUUUUGUAUGUUUUGGGUUUGUUGGGCCCGGGCGAAAAUUAGGCCCUACAAAUUAUAUUUAGUUAAUUAAAAAUUAAUUAAUUUACUUGGCUGGACAUCCACAUUUGCCUCUAAAAUCUAUUUUAACUGUUACGUCAGACUGUCGUAUGGGAAGUAAUAGAUCUUAACGGCAACGUGACCAUUUUGUAACAAAACGUUAACGUAAGUAAUUAAAAUGUAACAUUUCAAACAUAAAUAACUAAAAUAUAACCUAAAGCAAAUAAAAAUGACUAUUUUAAUAAUUUACUCUAAAUAUUAAGCCUUCAGAGUUUGUGAACUCUUAUUUAGAAAAUUAAUUAAUUAAUUAAAAUAAAAUUAUACAUGAAAAAAUAUGAUAUAAAAAACAUAUUCACUAAAAGUUUAUAUAUAAACCAAAUGAAAUUUUAGUUAAAG
RNAcentral lists this long non-coding RNA (20857 nucleotides) under Gossypium barbadense (sea-island cotton). Its description in RNAcentral is "long non-coding RNA (GBAR_LNC011740)". Lineage: Eukaryota; Viridiplantae; Streptophyta; Magnoliopsida; Malvales; Malvaceae. The record is from RNAcentral.